RNAcentral lists this unclassified non-coding RNA (378 nucleotides) under plant metagenome. Its description in RNAcentral is "partial contains 5.8S ribosomal RNA, internal transcribed spacer 2, and large subunit ribosomal RNA". The stretch from base 1 to 105 matches the Rfam family "5.8S ribosomal RNA", at positions 50 to 154 of the family's 154-position model. The record is from RNAcentral.
GAAAUGCGAUAAGUAAUGUGAAUUGCAGAAUUCAGUGAAUCAUCGAAUCUUUGAACGCACCUUGCGCUCCUUGGUAUUCCUUGGAGCAUGCCUGUUUGAGUAUCAUGAAAUCUUCAAAGUAAAUCUUUUGUUAACUCAAUUGGUUUCUACUUUGGUAUUGGAGGUCUUUGCAGCUUCACACCUGCUCCUCUUUGUUCAUUAGCUGGAUCUCAGUGUUAUGCUUGGUUCCACUCGGCGUGAUAAGUUAUCUAUCGCUGAGGACACUGUAAAAGGUGGCCAAGGUAAAUGCAGACGAACUGCUUCUAAUAGUCCAUUGACUUGGACAAUACUUUUAUGAUCUGAUCUCAAAUCAGGUAGGACUACCCGCUGAACUUAAGC